Molecule: ribosomal RNA, 407 nt
Filed under: uncultured bacterium
Lineage: Bacteria
Description: partial 16S ribosomal RNA
Rfam family: Bacterial small subunit ribosomal RNA
Source: RNAcentral
AUUGAACGCUGGCGGCAGGCCUAACACAUGCAAGUCGAACGGCGCGGCGGACGGGUAAGGGAUGCCUAGGAAUCUGCCUGUGAGUGACGGAUAACGUCCGGAAACGGACGCCAUUACCACAUACUAUAAACUGAGCCUCGGUGGGAUUAGCUAGUUGGUGGGGUAAAGGCCUACAAAGGCGACGAUCCGUAGCUGGUCUGAGAGGAUGAUCAGUCACACUGGAACUGAGACACGGUCCAGACUCCUACGGGAGGCAGCAGUGGGGAAUAUUGGACAAUGGGCGAAAGCCUGAUCCAGCCAUGCCGCGUGUGUGAAGAAGGUCUGCGGAUUGUAAAGCACUUUUAGUUGGGAGGCGUUACCAACAGAAUAAGCACCGGCUAACUUCGUGCCAGCAGCCGCGGUAAUAC